Molecule: ribosomal RNA, 2903 nt
Filed under: Enterobacter cloacae
Lineage: Bacteria; Pseudomonadati; Pseudomonadota; Gammaproteobacteria; Enterobacterales; Enterobacteriaceae
Also listed under: 1 other name
Description: bacterial LSU rRNA
Rfam family: Bacterial large subunit ribosomal RNA
Source: RNAcentral
UUAAGCGACUAAGCGUACACGGUGGAUGCCCUGGCAGUCAGAGGCGAUGAAGGACGUGCUAAUCUGCGAAAAGCGCCGGCGAGGUGAUAUGAACCUUUGACCCGGCGAUGUCCGAAUGGGGAAACCCAGUGCAAUUCGUUGCACUAUCGUUAACUGAAUACAUAGGUUAACGAGGCGAACCGGGGGAACUGAAACAUCUAAGUACCCCGAGGAAAAGAAAUCAACCGAGAUUCCCCCAGUAGCGGCGAGCGAACGGGGAGCAGCCCAGAGUCUGAAUCAGCUUGUGUGUUAGUGGAAGCGUCUGGAAAGUCGCACGGUACAGGGUGACAGUCCCGUACACGAAAGCACACAGGCUGUGAACUCGAAGAGUAGGGCGGGACACGUGGUAUCCUGUCUGAAUAUGGGGGGACCAUCCUCCAAGGCUAAAUACUCCUGACUGACCGAUAGUGAACCAGUACCGUGAGGGAAAGGCGAAAAGAACCCCGGCGAGGGGAGUGAAAAAGAACCUGAAACCGUGUACGUACAAGCAGUGGGAGCACCUUCGUGGUGUGACUGCGUACCUUUUGUAUAAUGGGUCAGCGACUUAUAUUCUGUAGCAAGGUUAACCGUAUAGGGGAGCCGAAGGGAAACCGAGUCUUAACUGGGCGUUAAGUUGCAGGGUAUAGACCCGAAACCCGGUGAUCUAGCCAUGGGCAGGUUGAAGGUUGGGUAACACUAACUGGAGGACCGAACCGACUAAUGUUGAAAAAUUAGCGGAUGACUUGUGGCUGGGGGUGAAAGGCCAAUCAAACCGGGAGAUAGCUGGUUCUCCCCGAAAGCUAUUUAGGUAGCGCCUCGUGAACUCAUCUUCGGGGGUAGAGCACUGUUUCGGCUAGGGGGCCAUCCCGGCUUACCAACCCGAUGCAAACUACGAAUACCGAAGAAUGUUAUCACGGGAGACACACGGCGGGUGCUAACGUCCGUCGUGAAGAGGGAAACAACCCAGACCGCCAGCUAAGGUCCCAAAGUCAUGGUUAAGUGGGAAACGAUGUGGGAAGGCACAGACAGCCAGGAUGUUGGCUUAGAAGCAGCCAUCAUUUAAAGAAAGCGUAAUAGCUCACUGGUCGAGUCGGCCUGCGCGGAAGAUGUAACGGGGCUAAACCAUGCACCGAAGCUGCGGCAGCGACGCGUAUGCGUUGUUGGGUAGGGGAGCGUUCUGUAAGCCGUUGAAGGUGUGCUGUGAGGCAUGCUGGAGGUAUCAGAAGUGCGAAUGCUGACAUAAGUAACGAUAAAGCGGGUGAAAAGCCCGCUCGCCGGAAGACCAAGGGUUCCUGUCCAACGUUAAUCGGGGCAGGGUGAGUCGACCCCUAAGGCGAGGCCGAAAGGCGUAGUCGAUGGGAAACAGGUUAAUAUUCCUGUACUUGGUGUUACUGCGAAGGGGGGACGGAGAAGGCUAUGUUAGCCGGGCGACGGUUGUCCCGGUUUAAGCAUGUAGGCGGAGGUUCCAGGUAAAUCCGGUACCUUUUAACGCUGAGGUGUGAUGACGAGGCACUACGGUGCUGAAGUAACAAAUGCCCUGCUUCCAGGAAAAGCCUCUAAGCAUCAGGUAACAUCAAAUCGUACCCCAAACCGACACAGGUGGUCAGGUAGAGAAUACCAAGGCGCUUGAGAGAACUCGGGUGAAGGAACUAGGCAAAAUGGUGCCGUAACUUCGGGAGAAGGCACGCUGAUAUGUAGGUGAAGCCCCUGCGGGUGGAGCUGAAAUCAGUCGAAGAUACCAGCUGGCUGCAACUGUUUAUUAAAAACACAGCACUGUGCAAACACGAAAGUGGACGUAUACGGUGUGACGCCUGCCCGGUGCCGGAAGGUUAAUUGAUGGGGUUAGCGGCAACGCGAAGCUCUUGAUCGAAGCCCCGGUAAACGGCGGCCGUAACUAUAACGGUCCUAAGGUAGCGAAAUUCCUUGUCGGGUAAGUUCCGACCUGCACGAAUGGCGUAAUGAUGGCCAGGCUGUCUCCACCCGAGACUCAGUGAAAUUGAACUCGCUGUGAAGAUGCAGUGUACCCGCGGCAAGACGGAAAGACCCCGUGAACCUUUACUAUAGCUUGACACUGAACACUGGUCCUUGAUGUGUAGGAUAGGUGGGAGGCUUUGAAGCGUGGACGCCAGUCUGCGUGGAGCCGUCCUUGAAAUACCACCCUUUAAUGGCUGGUGUUCUAACGUAGACCCGUAAUCCGGGUUGCGGACAGUGUCUGGUGGGUAGUUUGACUGGGGCGGUCUCCUCCCAAAGAGUAACGGAGGAGCACGAAGGUUAGCUAAUCCUGGUCGGACAUCAGGAGGUUAGUGCAAUGGCAUAAGCUAGCUUGACUGCGAGAGUGACGGCUCGAGCAGGUGCGAAAGCAGGUCAUAGUGAUCCGGUGGUUCUGAAUGGAAGGGCCAUCGCUCAACGGAUAAAAGGUACUCCGGGGAUAACAGGCUGAUACCGCCCAAGAGUUCAUAUCGACGGCGGUGUUUGGCACCUCGAUGUCGGCUCAUCACAUCCUGGGGCUGAAGUAGGUCCCAAGGGUAUGGCUGUUCGCCAUUUAAAGUGGUACGCGAGCUGGGUUUAGAACGUCGUGAGACAGUUCGGUCCCUAUCUGCCGUGGGCGCUGGAGAAUUGAGGGGGGCUGCUCCUAGUACGAGAGGACCGGAGUGGACGCAUCACUGGUGUUCGGGUUGUCAUGCCAAUGGCACUGCCCGGUAGCUAAAUGCGGAAAAGAUAAGUGCUGAAAGCAUCUAAGCACGAAACUUGCCCCGAGAUGAGUUCUCCCUGACCCUUUAAGGGUCCUGAAGGAACGUUGAAGACGACGACGUUGAUAGGUCGGGUGUGUAAGCGCAGCGAUGCGUUGAGCUAACCGAUACUAAUGAACCGUGAGGCUUAACCUU